Molecule: long non-coding RNA, 321 nt
Organism: Solanum stenotomum
Lineage: Eukaryota; Viridiplantae; Streptophyta; Magnoliopsida; Solanales; Solanaceae
Exons: 3
Source: RefSeq, a predicted model, not a curated record
ACUUCAUCAUCGUGAUCAAAACAAGUUUGUUUUCUGGUAUACUCACUUUGGGGUUCGCACACAAACAUCGUACGAGGACAAUAUAAAGAAAAUUGUUGAUUUUAGUACUGUUGAAGGUUUUUGGGUUUGCUACUGCCACUUGGCUCGUCCAUCAGCAUUGCUCAGCCCAACUUAUUUGCAUCUUUUCAAGGAGGGUAUUCGUCCUUUAUGGGAGGAUGCUGUUAACUCCCAUGGUGGGAAGUGGAUAAUUCGUUUUAAAAAGGCUGUCUCAGGACAUUAUUGGGAGGACCUGGUAAGCUAGCUGCCCUGUGAUUGUUGUUU